GAAUCUGGAGAGGAGGGCUCCAGCCCUCUUCAGGUCUCGAACAACAGGGCUGGUGCUCCUCAGAACCCGUUCCUCACACAGAACCGCAGCUUGGCUGCUCCAGUAGAAGGCAAGCCCGGAGACAGUGCAAGGUGCGCGUCAGAGGGAGCACGAAGGAUGGGUUCGCAAUUAUACGGUAAAGGUCACACGGGGGAUCACAUCAGCUCGUUCAGAAGUGAGGACACCCUUCUCCUUUCGCUACUUCCCCUGCAUGCUCUGUAGCCCUAAAGGACAUCGCACCUUAACUUUAUCAUGUUACUCCCUGUGCUCAGAAUGUGGAGUGUAACUUACACACCCUCACCUGGUCCUUGGAUGCCCAUUGUAUACAAUGCAGCACAAAUAUGAGUCCUCCACCUUCUAAUAUACCUAUGAUGAACUUUGAAUAUUUGUGCCUCAGAGACUACAAAGGACUCUCCUGUUCAUUUUCAUAAACUCCUUUGUUACUCUAGCAAUACUUAACUGCAAAGUGCCAACAUCCCCAUAGGUAAACACUGAAGAUAGCAUUCCCUUUCUCUGCCCU
Molecule: long non-coding RNA, 559 nt
Filed under: Fukomys damarensis (Damara mole-rat)
Lineage: Eukaryota; Metazoa; Chordata; Mammalia; Rodentia; Bathyergidae
Description: lncRNA (ENSFDAG00000032950.1)
Source: RNAcentral